UCCGAAUUGGUGUAGUGGCUAACAUUUGACGCUCUCAAGUGGUCCUCAUUGCCUGGGAAAGUGCCGUCAAGCCCGGGGUUCGAUUCCCCGAUUCGGAG
Molecule: non-coding RNA, 98 nt
Organism: Xylaria sp. FL0043
Lineage: Eukaryota; Fungi; Ascomycota; Sordariomycetes; Xylariales; Xylariaceae
Source: the annotation of a GenBank genome assembly